RNAcentral lists this small RNA (1640 nucleotides) under Drosophila ananassae. RNAcentral describes it as "GF26766". The record is from RNAcentral. Lineage: Eukaryota; Metazoa; Arthropoda; Insecta; Diptera; Drosophilidae.
AGUGUUAGAAGAGGAGAACAAGGGGGUUAGGGGGUUGGAAUAUAGCCCCAAGAAGCGACCAUAACUUUAUGAUUGCUUUUGUAUUGCCCGCUGCGUAUUGGGCCCAAAAACGCGACAUUGGGGCCGGGAGAUAAAAUCAACAGCUCCAGCUACCGCUACGGCUACAGUGGGAAAUGGCCAAUGAUGGACUCUUCCGGUUAAUCCGGGAAACACUUUUAUUUUGAAUAUUAUUUUAUUGGGACAUUUAUUGGGAUAUUUAUUGGAGAGCAUUACAAGUGUUCCAUUGGGAGGGGGAGUAUAAGAUGCACUGGCUGCACUUGCGCUCUUUUCCACACUGUCUCAGCCUCUGCUGGCAGCUGUACCUGCGCUCCCUUUCACACCUGCUCUCCCACCCAAUCAUAUUUUAACCUAUAAUAUGCGCUCUUAUACACUCCCACUCUGUCUCUGCCAGCGCUUUCAAGAUCAGACUCUGCUCCCGCUGCAACUGUGCUCCCUUUCACACCUGCUUUCCCACCCACUUGUAGCGAGAGCUGGCUGCACGUGCGCUCUCAUUUACCCCACUCUACCUCUGCCGGCUUUUAGAGAGAGAUGCGCUCGCUGCACCUGCUCUCCCACUCAUACCUGCUCUCCCACCUCUGCCUGCGCUUUCAGCUUAUUGGAGUUAUCCUCUCAUUUGGCGCAUCCUACCACGCUCGCCAUUCGCGCAAUGCUGCUCGUGCGCUCCGGUUUAAUAAAAAGUGAUCGCGGAAGUGUGUGUUCUAGUUUUUAAAUAAUUAUUUAAUUUGUGUUUCUAUUUUCUAGUGAUUUUAAAGACUAUUUAAGAUUGCUUUAAGGAUUUCUCUUCUAGCUCGCGUGUGUGUAAGUGCGUUUGUGUUUGGAGGAGAGACGCCGGCCAAGGAGUCCCCAACGCAAAGAACCGUUAACUGAAAACAGAAAAUAACAUGAGAAUGUGGAGAAAAGAAAAGAAAGAAAAUAAAUAUGUAAUUCAUCUAAUGGAAGUACAGUCAUAACGAUUACCGCAGAAAAUUGAGGCCAGCAGAAAAUCAAAGCCUAAAAUAAAAAUGGAAGGACUCACAACCAGCCUAGAUGACAUCUCGGAACAAAUGGAACAAUUUGGAAGCCCAAACUACAAAUGGAAAGACUGACAACCAGCCUGGACUACGUCUAGGAUCAAAUGGAACAAUUUGGAAAUUUUGAUACAGAAUGAUGGGAAAUUCUUCUACGAAGCAUUUGAGGUGCUCCACCACGGAAUCGAGCACCUUUUGACGGAGAUAUAGGCAUUGCUGGCCCUGAACUGAUACAUGAACUUAUCCAACUUAUACAUUUCUGGUGACAGGAUAGCCGGAUGCAGAACAACUAUUAUAAUGGAUCAACGCUUUAACCCCGUAAAAUCAUCCCUCACAAGGCAAGGAAAUCCUUACCUAUCGGCCGUCGAAUUUGCAAUCGGAGAACCAACGGGACCGCUGAUAGACUUGGAACAUUAUUUAGCGUUUAAGACAAUUUUAAGCAUAUCCCUCAAAAUUUCCCUGAUCUCCAAUACUUCGGAUAUACGCGUUUCAGACGAUUCUAAAAAUUUCCCUCAAAAUUUCCCUGAUCUCCAAUACUUCGGAUAUACGCGUUUCAGACGAUUCUAAUAAAAU